RNAcentral lists this ribosomal RNA (819 nucleotides) under Chaetosphaeriaceae sp. TABS-2015b. RNAcentral describes it as "eukaryotic LSU rRNA". It matches the Rfam family "Eukaryotic large subunit ribosomal RNA", at positions 84 to 937 of the family's 3401-position model. Lineage: Eukaryota; Fungi; Ascomycota; Sordariomycetes; Chaetosphaeriales; Chaetosphaeriaceae. The record is from RNAcentral.
UAACGGCGAGUGAAGCGGCAACAGCUCAAAUUUGAAAUCUGGCCCUAGGCCCGAGUUGUAAUUUGCAGAGGAUGCUUCGGACGCGGCGCCUUCCAAGUCCCCUGGAACGGGGCGCCUUAAAGGGUGAGAGCCCCGUACGGUUGGAUGCCAAGUCUGUGUGAAGCUCCUUCGACGAGUCGAGUAGUUUGGGAAUGCUGCUCAAAAUGGGAGGUAGACCCCUUCUAAAGCUAAAUACCGGCCAGAGACCGAUAGCGCACAAGUAGAGUGAUCGAAAGAUGAAAAGCACUUUGAAAAGAGGGUUAAAUAGCACGUGAAAUUGUUGAAAGGGAAGCGCUUGUGACCAGACUUGCGCCGGGGCGAUCAUCUAGCGUUCUCGCUGGUGCACUCGCCCCGGUUCAGGCCAGCGUCGGUUUGGACGGGGGGACAAAGACUUUGGGAAUGUGGCUCCCCCGGGAGUGUUAUAGCCCUUUGUGUAAUGCCCCCGACCAGACCGAGGUUCGCGCUCUGCAAGGACGCUGGCAUAAUGGUCAUCAGCGACCCGUCUUGAAACACGGACCAAGGAGUCGAGGUUCUGCGCGAGUGUUUGGGUGUCAAACCCGCACGCGUAAUGAAAGUGAACGUAGGUGGGAGCUUCGGCGCACCACCGACCGAUCCUGAUGUUCUCGGAUGGAUUUGAGUAAGAGCGUUGGGCCUCGGACCCGAAAGAUGGUGAACUAUGCUUGGAUAGGGUGAAGCCAGAGGAAACUCUGGUGGAGGCUCGCAGCGGUUCUGACGUGCAAAUCGAUCGUCAAAUCUGAGCAUGGGGCGAAAGACUAAUCG